Schistocerca serialis cubense is the source of this 741-nucleotide long non-coding RNA. RefSeq lists it as uncharacterized. The transcript is spliced from 3 exons. NCBI's taxonomy places the organism in Eukaryota, Metazoa, Arthropoda, Insecta, Orthoptera, Acrididae. The record is from RefSeq and is a predicted model, not a curated record.
UCACCUGAAAGACUUUUGAAAAACAUUUUCUGUACCGUCAUUCUCUGGUGUAGUUUGAGUGAAAAUUGCUGGUAGUGCUUUUAUUUCCAUUCUAUCAUGUCAUAUGACAUAAUAUUUUGUGGUUACCAGCCUUUAGCCAAAAAAAAUUUCCUGCACAGAAGAGAGCGCCGAGAAAUAUGAGCGGUAUUCAUCCAAGAUAUUCUUGCAGAAAUCUGUUCCUUCACAAAAUGAAGAAACAUUCCUGCUAUUCAGCUGCUGUAUAGCCAUAGGCCUCUCAUCGAUUUGAAAAUCACGAAAGCUGACAAGAAAGUUCUCUUCCAGAUAUAUUUAUGAAGAAAGGGAUGUGCUUCACUACCUGUAUAAAUGGUGAUAUGCAAAACUGGAACUAGCCAUCAACAAUAUUACAGCAAUAAUAAUGGGAGAAACCACUUCAAAAUUCAUCUGUUGUGUGGUCUACAUCAUUGGAAGUAUCAUUCAUAGAAUCAUUUCAGUACAUCAAUAUAUGAGACUUCGAGAAACAUAAAACCAAGUGCAACAUCAACAGCAAAAUAAUCAAAUAAUAUCUGCCUCCUCUUUCUUAUCGUUUAUGUUAUAUUUUCUAUAUUCCAGUCCAUUUCGACACUACCUUUUAAUCUCCAAGAGUCUGUUAUUUUUGGUGGUGCCAGUGUCUUCCUCACAAUUUCUUUUUCAGUAUGUCUAUUUAAUGUAUUUCAUAACUGAAUGGAAGUUUAAUACUUUUCU